AACGAACGCUGGCGGCAUGCCUAACACAUGCAAGUCGAACGAGACCUUCGGGUCUAGUGGCGCACGGGUGCGUAACGCGUGGGAACCUGCCCUUAGGUUCGGAAUAACUCCCCGAAAGGGGUGCUAAUACCGGAUAAUGUCUUCGGACCAAAGAUUUAUCGCCUUUGGAUGGGCCCGCGUUGGAUUAGCUAGUUGGUAGGGUAAAAGCCUACCAAGGCGACGAUCCAUAGCUGGUCUGAGAGGAUGAUCAGCCACACUGGGACUGAGACACGGCCCAGACUCCUCCGGGGGGCAGCAGUGGGGAAAAUUGGAAAAGGGGCAAAACCCUGAUCCAGCAAUGCCGGGGGAGUGAUGAAGGCCUUGGGGUUGUAAAGCUCUUUUCCCCGGGAUGAUAAUGACGGUACCGGGGGAAAAAGCCCCGGCUAACCCCGU
This 432-nucleotide ribosomal RNA is filed under the name uncultured bacterium. Its description in RNAcentral is "partial 16S ribosomal RNA". It matches the Rfam family "Bacterial small subunit ribosomal RNA", at positions 29 to 506 of the family's 1533-position model. The record is from RNAcentral.